Small nucleolar RNA from Eupeodes corollae, 71 nucleotides. NCBI's taxonomy places the organism in Eukaryota, Metazoa, Arthropoda, Insecta, Diptera, Syrphidae. The record is from RefSeq and is a predicted model, not a curated record.
AUUUUUCAUGAUGUGUUUGAUACCGCCCCAGUCCGAUAAUUGUGACGAUUGGUUCUAUAAUUUCUGAAAUU